UACGGAGGGGACUAGCGUUGUUCGGAAUUACUGGGCGUAAAGGGCUCGUAGGCGGCCAACUAAGUCGGACGUGAAAUCCCCAGGCUCAACCUGGGAACUGCGUCCGAUACUGGAUGGCUUGAAUCCGGGAGAGGGAUGCAGAAUUCCAGGUGUAGCGGUGAAAUGCGUAGAUAUCUGGAGGAAUACCGGUGGCGAAGGCGGCAUCCUGGACCGACAUUGACGCUGAUGAGCGAAAGCUAGGGGAGCAAACGGG
RNAcentral lists this ribosomal RNA (253 nucleotides) under uncultured bacterium. Its description in RNAcentral is "partial 16S ribosomal RNA". It matches the Rfam family "Bacterial small subunit ribosomal RNA", at positions 524 to 776 of the family's 1533-position model. The record is from RNAcentral.